This 321-nucleotide ribosomal RNA is filed under the name uncultured eukaryote. Its description in RNAcentral is "partial 18S ribosomal RNA". It matches the Rfam family "Eukaryotic small subunit ribosomal RNA", at positions 1470 to 1796 of the family's 1831-position model. The record is from RNAcentral.
CCCUUAGAUGUUCUGGGCUGCACGCGCGCUACACUGAUGCGUUCAACAAGUGUUAACCUUGCCCGAUAGGGUUGGGUAAUCUUUUGAAAGCGCAUCGUGAUGGGGAUCGAUGACUGCAAUUGUUCAUCUUCAACGAGGAAUUCCUAGUAAGCGCAAGUCAUCAGCUUGCACUGAUUACGUCCCUGCCCUUUGUACACACCGCCCGUCGCUCCUACCGAUUGGGUGAUCCGGUGAAUAGUUCGGAUCGUGCAGGUUGCCUUCGGGUGCUUGUAUGAGAAGUUCAGUAAACCUUAUCACUUAGAGGAAGGAGAAGUCGUAACA